UACAGAGGUGGCAAGCGUUGUUCGGAAUUACUGGGCGUAAAGGGCGCGUAGGCGGUCUUGCAAGUCCUGUGUGAAAUCCCUCGGCUCAACUGAGGAAUCGCACGGGAAACUGCUUGGCUUGAGAUCGGGAGAGGGAAGCGGAAUUCCGGGUGUAGCGGUGAAAUGCGUAGAUAUCCGGAGGAACACCGGUGGCGAAGGCGGCUUCCUGGACCGACACUGACGCUGAGGCGCGAAAGCUAGGGGAGCAAACGGG
Molecule: ribosomal RNA, 253 nt
Filed under: uncultured bacterium
Lineage: Bacteria
Description: partial 16S ribosomal RNA
Rfam family: Bacterial small subunit ribosomal RNA
Source: RNAcentral